CCUACGGGUGGCAGCAGUGGGGGAUAUUGCACAAUGGGGGAAACCCUGAUGCAGCGACGCCGCGUGUGGGAAGACGGUCCUCUGGAUUGUAAACCACUGUCCCCAGGGACGAAGAUGACGGUACCUGGGGAGGAAGCUCCGGCUAACUACGUGCCAGCAGCCGCGGUAAUACGUAGGGAGCGAGCGUUGUCCGGAAUUACUGGGUGUAAGGGGAGCGUAGGCGGGACUGCAAGUUGGGUGUCAAAUCUACCGGCUCAACCGGUAGCCGCACUCAAAACUGCAGUUCUUGAGUGAAGUAGAGGCAGGCGGAAUUCCUGGUGUAGCGGUGAAAUGCGUAGAUAUUAGGAGGAACACCAGUGGCGAAGGCGGCCUGCUGGGCUUUUACUGACGCUGAGGCUCGAAAGUGUGGGGAGCAAACAGGAUUAGAUACCCUUGUAGUC
Molecule: ribosomal RNA, 440 nt
Filed under: uncultured bacterium
Lineage: Bacteria
Description: partial 16S ribosomal RNA
Rfam family: Bacterial small subunit ribosomal RNA
Source: RNAcentral